CUCUCUCUGUUUCUCUGUUGUUUACAAUCUAUUUUUCUUUUUUUGACAAACAUAGUGAAUAAUCACUGGAAUCCAUCUCUUGUAUCAAUGGAUACGGCAGGGAAAUUGACUGUCUUACGAUAUAGAUUUUUUUACGGGCUUAUACAGUGUAAUUUUUGUUUGCCGCUAGCUGGAUUGUUGUUGUGUGUCUCCUUGUUUCACAGUCAGGACCGCAUCUUCGUUCCAACAAGGGACUUCUUUCAUACAUUGAGCAAAUGUAUGGAGGAGCAGUAGGCGUUAGUUCAGAACACUCAAGAUGAUGUGAAUAUUUAAGAUGCUAGCUGAACUGGACCAUGGCAUCCUAUCGGGUUUAAUUAGUUUCAAGUAGAUUUUUUUUUAUUCCCAUGCCCAUUCCUAGGAUAAAUCCCACCGCACACCAAACUAGGGAUUGAGACUGAAAGUCUAUUUCCCAUGUAUAACCUCUCACCAAACAUCCAUCCUGAACUCCCAUUUCUCAUGCCAAAGGUUGAUGAACACGCUGUGGGCUUCUUAGUUGUGGAUGUUGAUUUGGUCAUGUUUCUCAACUUUUCCUCUUUUGAUAUGCUGAUAUGUAGUAUUUCAUAUUUAGAGGUAACAAAGUUAUGUUGAUUCUAAUUUAAAUUUUGUUGUUAAUGCACUGCUACACAUCUCUUCUCGUAGAAGAGAAAAGGAUAAGAAAAAGAAUGAAGUGCAAGUUGAUCUUGAGAUAACGGCCACCUCUGUUGCAUUGGAUGGAGCACACCGCCCACGCCCAUGCCAUGCAGAUGGCUGGCAAAGAGGAGAAGCUGCUAGGCACCGUCGUGGCUGUCAUGUUGUGAACUUGUGAUGCAUAGCCCCCCUGGAGAUUAACAGCUAUGAUGAGUAGAUUUUGUCCUCCGUUGUUCCACUCUUGGUGGGGCUAGCAACUGCGGAGCGUUUGACCAGUAACAAGGAAACAUAUGGUGAACAUGCUGGUGCUACUUCUGCAGUUUCUCGCCCUCUGCCUCUUAUCCACAUUUCUUCUUUCAUUACUGAAGUUCAGAGUUAGUCACAACUCAUGGGUGCAUGUUUUUUUGUUCAUGUUUUGAAGAAUAUAAGAUAAGGAUCAUCCAUCUGAAUAAUUUUGACGCUGCUGUACAUUUCAGCUCUGCUAGAACAUUAUUGUGCAAUUUUUUCUUUAUUAUAUAGCUUCUUUAUGGAUAUGUCAUUUGACAGUUUCGUGCCCAUGUGGCCAGUUUUCUCUUUCUACUUAUUAGUUAACCAAGGUAUCUAGAAGUUGCACUAUUAGUAAUUUGGUUUUACUCGCCUGCUACUGCCAUCUAUAUAUCGAGUUUGGGAUUCUGUAUAGCAGAAUGAUUUCUCUUUACUUGAUUAUCAUACAUACCUUCCCUUAGGGUAUUAAUUUGACAUUUUCCUAUAAUGUAACUGCUUAGUGUAUUCAUAUUAUCUCGCUAUUGCUUUACAUUUUGUGCAGCGCAACAAUAUGAAUUCCACAGUAUGGAUUAUGCAAAUAUUUUUUGACAGCAUCUGUCAGGGUGGUAAGCUUUCCUUGCCGUUUCUCUUUGCUGCUCCCGCUAGCUAGCUUGUGGUUUCUAUUUUACAAGCAUGGUAUGGUGAACCUAAUUUUCAUUCAAAGGAACUUGGUGCUACAACCAGUUGACAAAAAAAAUUCUUUUAGUUUUACAUACUGGAGUCACGACAUAUUUAUCUUGAUUAGCCUAUUGUUGUGUGUUUGUUACCUAGCAUCAUAUUUACUCCAUGCCUUUUCUUGUAGCAGUGUAAAGAAAUAUAUUGUGACGGCAAUCUGUCUACCUAAGGACACCAACUUGUAUUCAGCUCGAUCUUUUGGAUUGACCAUGGCGAGUAUGGAUACGUUUCUUGACGUAUAAGUGAUUCUUUGGCUUAAAUAGCUUUGCAUGGAUAUGUUUAGUCUCUCUGCGAUGCAUCAAGCAUGUCUUCUCAAGAUAAGCUUGGUUAAAUUUUGGUUCGUGUCAGUUCACUAAUUUUUUGUAGAAAGUACAAUAUUAUACAUGAUUGCUACAUAUCAAGUUCAGCAUCUGGUAUCUCGGUAGCAGUACUAAUUACUCUUUCUUUCUACGUAGCUAGCUUGCUACAUUCAACAAUUAUACAACUGGGAAGUUACGGCAGCUAGCUAUGGUCCCGUUUGUGAAUUACUAAUUGUGGAGCUCUGUUUGUUCAUUACCAGGAUAUCAGCCAUGCCCUCCUUAAUUAGGAUUGUACACGUGUGAGAGGGCAGUAUAAAUAUGGAUUUUUACCAAACUGAAGCAAUAGGAUGCAUGGUAGCAAUUCGUCAGUUAACUUCAGUUUGUUCGUUAUAUAUUUGUGAAAAGGAGUGAGAGGGAACACUGCUGAUUCUAGAGAUCAGUUUGCUUGGUUCGUUCCGACUAUUAAUCCAUUCCUCGCUAAAGCUUGUCCAACUUGCAUUGUCGUGGAUCCUCACAAGGCACUGCCAUGCAACAGUGUUUCUAAAUAAAUGAUUUGUUGGUCCAUGAAACUUGGAUCUCGGCUGAGGUUUCUGAUCUAGCUGAUGAUCACAUUGUAGCCCUGGAGGAAGCUCUAUGAAGAUUCAGACAUAAUAGGAUGUGUAGCGUACAACCUCGGUCCUGGAAAGGGAACAUUUCUUUGGCUUAAAUCCCUCUGGUGUAUUCUGGGAGAAGAGAGAUGCAGAGGUUGCAUAUGUUGCAACUACCAAAGCUGUGAAGGGGCUCAAAUGGAAGGGUGCUACCCCAUUAUCUCCCUACUGCUUAGGGUCUAUACGAUUGUGGCUGGCCCAUAAAGGAAACACUAAUGGAAAAGUUUAAAGUGAUAAAGCAUUUAUAUUAAAAUGUUGUAUUGGAUAUCUCCAUCUUAUUCCAAAAGUCCAUUGCUCUGGACUGUGGCCUUUACCAAAUGAUAGAAGUGAGGUUUCAAGUUUAAAAAAUUACACUAUGGUCUGGAUCGCUAACAUUUUGGUUAAAGAGAUGAAGCCCAGUGUUGUAUUUGGACUAUCUGUUGUGGGUGGUUUCCUCUCAAAGGAGCAUUUGCUUGUGAUGAUUGAGAAAUUCAAGGGACAUGCAGCUUGUGUUUUCUGUUAGAUUUUUGUAAAGGUUAGAUUUUGUCUCUUUGUUAUAUAUCUCUGCUUCAAAUAUGAGUUACUUUGAAUGAUGCAUGCAGUAUUUUAUACAAUAUUUGUGGCUGGAAUUUGAUAAAUUUCAACUGAUUCAUUUAUAUCUGGGGUAUAAGUCAGUUUGUGAAGUUCACGCCAUUGUAAGCUAUACUUUUCAUCUCAAGGGAUACCAGAGCUGAAAUGUAGCAUAGUGCCUUUUUUUGCAUGGGCUAUCUUGCUUUGGCUUAUUGUCUGUGCACAAAAAUGGAUUGCAGACAAGGGUCUCUACAAGUGUGCGUAAAAGUGCGAUUAAAUCACUCAGAAGAGAAACAAGCAACGUUAUAUUAAAUGAAGUUCUCAACUUGGCAGCAUUUGAUUUUCAAUGUAUACACAGUUUGAUCCAUCAUUAUCUUCACCGGUUAACAUAUUGUGUUCUCAGACCAUGUAAUUCCUUUAAAGAAGUUGCACAAUAUUUGUUGACUACUUUAUUCUCUUGCCAUUCAAUAUAUCGUAGAUUCAAGAUUUAUAUCAUAUACCAUCUGCACAGUAACACAUUAUGGAAUUUAGGUUUCUGUUGUAUUCUGUGCCUACUAUACCUGUGUGAUUAAUUAGGUGCAUUCGUAUACUGUAUGUAUGUUCAUUUGAUUCCUCCAUGUAAAUCGUGUUGUGCCUGUUAAUUAUGGAUAGAAGAUCAGCUUUUAGCGACCAAUUGCCUAGGUGCGGGUAAUCUGUUAAUUCUGUGUAUCACGAUCUACUGAAACCUAACACAACAUUUGUACUCUUUUUCCUGUGUUUAACAUCUGCUGCCCUUUAGGCUGGUCUUGCAUGCCCAACAGGUACCUAAGUUCAGUUAUCCGUGUCAGCGCUUUCUGCAACCAAUAUUAGGUCAUUAUAUUCGAGUAUUUAUUUGAAUAUCAAUUAGUAUAGAUGCAUUGGUUACUUACAAGAGGUACUGUAUUCAGUUUCCAUAGGCCGAGUUUUCCAUCUCUACUGCUUUAUGUAACUGGUAAAAUGAAACAAAUGGUUUCUGCUUGCUUAUCCCCAUUUGCAGCGGUGUUAACUCUUGGUGAUGCAAGCCCUAAUCUCUAAAGACCGAGACAAUGCCUAGCCUACGUAGAUGAUGCAUUUGGCGUUCAUUUCUUGCUUUUGUUGCUCUUGACGGAAUCAAAGAAUGUAAUGUAUUCCAUAUUGCUUCUCUGAUUAUAUAUAAACUAUUCUUACUCUUUUUGUAA
This is a long non-coding RNA of Lolium rigidum, 4335 nucleotides long. RefSeq lists it as uncharacterized. Lineage: Eukaryota; Viridiplantae; Streptophyta; Magnoliopsida; Poales; Poaceae. The record is from RefSeq and is a predicted model, not a curated record. The transcript is spliced from 10 exons.